GCGGGUGUAAUUUAGUGGUAAAACUACAGCCUUCCAAGCUGUUGUCGCGAGUUCGAUUCUCGUCACCCGCU
This 71-nucleotide transfer RNA is filed under the name Streptococcus pneumoniae. RNAcentral describes it as "tRNA-Gly(tcc)". It matches the Rfam family "tRNA". From Rfam's summary of the family: Transfer RNA (tRNA) molecules are approximately 80 nucleotides in length. Their secondary structure includes four short double-helical elements and three loops (D, anti-codon, and T loops). Lineage: Bacteria; Bacillati; Bacillota; Bacilli; Lactobacillales; Streptococcaceae. The record is from RNAcentral.